RNAcentral lists this ribosomal RNA (497 nucleotides) under uncultured bacterium. Its description in RNAcentral is "partial 16S ribosomal RNA". It matches the Rfam family "Bacterial small subunit ribosomal RNA", at positions 28 to 507 of the family's 1533-position model. The record is from RNAcentral.
GAUGAACGCUGGCGGCGUGCCUAAUACAUGCAAGUCGAGCGAACAGAUGAGGAGCUUGCUCCUCUGACGUUAGCGGCGGACGGGUGAGUAACACGUGGAUAACCUACCUAUAAGACUGGGAUAACUUCGGGAAACCGGAGCUAAUACCGGAUAAUAUAUUGAACCGCAUGGUUCAAUAGUGAAAGACGGUUUUGCUGUCACUUAUAGAUGGAUCCGCGCCGCAUUAGCUAGUUGGUAGGGUAACGGCUUACCAAGGCGACGAUGCGUAGCCGACCUGAGAGGGUGAUCGGCCACACUAGAACUGAGACACGGUCCAGACUCCUACGGGAGGCAGCAGUAGGGAAUCUUCCGCAAUGGGCGAAAGCCUGACGGAGCAACGCCGCGUGAGUGAUGAAGGUCUUCGGAUCGUAAAACUCUGUUAUUAGGGAAGAACAAAUGUGUAAGUAACUAUGCACGUCUUGACGGUACCUAAUCAGAAAGCCACGGCUAACUACGUG